This is a long non-coding RNA of Dicentrarchus labrax (European seabass), 840 nucleotides long. RefSeq lists it as uncharacterized. The transcript has 2 exons. The record is from RefSeq and is a predicted model, not a curated record. NCBI's taxonomy places the organism in Eukaryota, Metazoa, Chordata, Actinopteri, Moronidae.
UAAGUGUAAAUAUUUAAAAGUUUCUUAUUAUUUUGAGAUAUUAAGUGUAAAUAUUUAAAAGUUUCUUAUUAUUUUGAGAUAUUAAGUGUAAAUAUUUGAAAGUUUCUUAUUAUUUUGAGAUAUUAAGUGUAAAUAUUUAAACGUUUCUUAUUAUUUUGAGAUAUUAAGUGUAAAUAUUUAAAAGUUUCUUAUUAUUUUGAGAUAUUAAGUGUAAAUAUUUGAACGUUUCUUAUUAUUUUGAGAUAUUAAGUGUAAAUAUUUAAACGUUUCUUAUUAUUUUGAGAUAUUAAGUGUAAAUAUUUAAACGUUUCUUAUUAUUUUUGAGAUAUUAGGUGAAAAUAUUGAUAAGUUGAAGUUUCUCAUUAUAAUGACUAACACAAUCUUUUUUUCCAUCACAUUGGCUGACUUGAUCUUCCAUACACAGUUUAGGUCCCCAGCAAUUAGAAACUGCCAGAUGCUAACUUGCAUAUAUUGGACAAUUAGCAUAAUUAGGAUCAAUAAAUCACCUAUAUGGACACUUGAGUAACUGCUGGCUGAUUGGGACGAUACAGGAGCAGUGUCCAUUUAUUGUUUAAUAUUUUGCACCUGCAUGUUCUGUUUGUAAGAACUCAAUGAUUAUAUUGAUUGAAAUACUCAAUGUAUGUAUUGUGUUUUUCUUCAUGUAUUUUUGUACACAUUGUUUUUAUUGCUAUUGACCUUGUUCCUUGUGUCAUUAAUAAAGCCAUUAUUAUUAUUAUUAUUAUUAUUAUUAUUAUUACACAGUGCCCCUGUGACUCAAACAUCCUCUGUAUCUGAAAAUUAUUUAUUUUCAUUGUUGAAACUCACUUUGUUUAAAACACU